This 24-nucleotide non-coding RNA is filed under the name Arabidopsis thaliana (thale cress). Lineage: Eukaryota; Viridiplantae; Streptophyta; Magnoliopsida; Brassicales; Brassicaceae. The record is from RNAcentral.
AGCUCUCGAAGUUCACCACAAGGA